AUACCCUAUUAUUAAUUUGGUUAUUUAUUUUGAUUAAUAUCAGUUAAUUUCUUUAAAAAUCAAAGAUUUUGGCGGUUAAUUAAUUCUUUUUAGAGGAACAUGUAUUUUAAUUGAUAGUCCACAAUAAUUUAUAUCAAAAAUUAUAUUUGUAUAUCUCUAUUGUUAGAUGAUUAUUAAAAUUAUUUUCUUUUUUUUUAAAAAAUUAAUUUUAGGUCAAGGUGCAGUUUUUUUUUGGGUUUUAUGUGUUACUUAAAUUUUAUAUAAAGUUAAUUCUUUUAGAUUUAUUUAGGAUUUAAAAGUAAAUAUGAUUAAUUAGUUAUGUUGAAAUUAGCACUAAUUAAUGUACACAUC
This 351-nucleotide ribosomal RNA is filed under the name Platyhynna sp. SK-2013. RNAcentral's name for it is "partial 12S ribosomal RNA". Lineage: Eukaryota; Metazoa; Arthropoda; Insecta; Hemiptera; Cicadellidae. The record is from RNAcentral.